UCCUACGGGAGGCAGCAGUGGGGAAUUUUGGACAAUGGGCGCAAGCCUGAUCCAGCCAUUCCGCGUGAGUGAAGAAGGCCUUCGGGUUGUAAAGCUCUUUCGCAAGGGAAGAAAACUUACCUUCUAAUAAAGGGUGAGGUUGACGGUACCUUGAUAAGAAGCACCGGCUAACUACGUGCCAGCAGCCGCGGUAAUACGUAGGGUGCGAGCGUUAAUCGGAAUUACUGGGCGUAAAGCGCGCGCAGGCGGUUUUGUAAGUCAGAUGUGAAAUCCCCGGGCUCAACCUGGGAACUGCGUUUGAAACUACAAGACUAGAAUAUGUCAGAGGGGGGUAGAACUCCACGUGUAGCAGUGAAAUGCGUAGAGAUGUGGAGGAAUACCAAUGGCGAAGGCAGCCCCCUGGGAUAAUAUUGACGCUCAUGCACGAAAGCGUGGGGAGCAAACAGGAUUAGAUACCCUUGUAGUCG
Molecule: ribosomal RNA, 467 nt
Filed under: uncultured bacterium
Lineage: Bacteria
Description: bacterial SSU rRNA
Rfam family: Bacterial small subunit ribosomal RNA
Source: RNAcentral